This 74-nucleotide transfer RNA is filed under the name Paenibacillus sp. S150. RNAcentral's name for it is "tRNA-Pro". It matches the Rfam family "tRNA". From Rfam's summary of the family: Transfer RNA (tRNA) molecules are approximately 80 nucleotides in length. Lineage: Bacteria; Bacillati; Bacillota; Bacilli; Caryophanales; Paenibacillaceae. The record is from RNAcentral.
CGAGACGUAGCUCAGCUUGGUAGAGCGCUUGCUUCGGGAGCAAGAGGCCGCAGGUUCAAAUCCUGUCGUCUCGA